AGUGAACGCUGGCGGUAGGCCUAACACAUGCCAGUCGAACGGCAGCACAGUAAGAGCUUGCUCUUACGGGUGGCGAGUGGCGGACGGGUGAGGAAUACAUCGGAAUCUACUUUUUCGUGGGGGAUAACGUAGGGAAACUUACGCUAAUACCGCAUACGACCUACGGGUGAAAGCAGGGGAUCUUCGGACCUUGCGCGAUUGAAUGAGCCGAUGUCGGAUUAGCUAGUUGGCGGGGUAAAGGCCCACCAAGGCGACGAUCCGUAGCUGGUCUGAGAGGAUGAUCAGCCACACUGGAACUGAGACACGGUCCAGACUCCUACGGGAGGCAGCAGUGGGGAAUAUUGGACAAUGGGCGCAAGCCUGAUCCAGCCAUACUGCGUGGGUGAAGAAGGCCUUCGGGUUGUAAAGCCCUUUUGUUGGGAAAGAAAAGCAGCAGGUUAAUACCCCGCUGUUCUGACGGUACCCAAAGAAUAAGCACCGGCUAACUUCGU
RNAcentral lists this ribosomal RNA (491 nucleotides) under uncultured bacterium. RNAcentral's name for it is "partial 16S ribosomal RNA". It matches the Rfam family "Bacterial small subunit ribosomal RNA", at positions 29 to 506 of the family's 1533-position model. The record is from RNAcentral.